Molecule: long non-coding RNA, 1913 nt
Filed under: Marmota monax (woodchuck)
Lineage: Eukaryota; Metazoa; Chordata; Mammalia; Rodentia; Sciuridae
Source: RNAcentral
GGCUCGCCAACGGGUUGGGAAAUGGAGAGGGACGAUGGAGAAAGACAGCAGAGAUCCUUGGUCCCAGAAUGGAGCCAGUGCUUCCCACGGUGUGAGAGAACAAUGUGGUGAGAUUUUCAAGAACUUCAUUCAGCCUCAUUGUGGGUAAAGGGAAAGACUUAGACGUUGUUGUUCUGAGGAAUUUGUUCUUGGUCAGAGUUGGGAAGGUUGACUGCAGUGCCACAGAGUGUUAGUCAGAUGACCAAGGCUUGCCCUUGACAGGGGAGGGAGCCGGGGAGUUGACAGUGGGUUUUCGGUACACAGAAACAGGGCACGCACAACAUGACCAAUCUGCAUGUGGCUCCUUCGGGUUUCCCUAGAGCUGGGACAAAAUAUCCUGUUGGACCUUGUCCUUAACUCCCCUUCACCUCCACCUCAGUACAGGGUAUUGUAGGAAACUCCCCAUGAGGAACAAACUGUGGUCCUGCCUCCACUAGUUCAGUGGGCACACAGCAUGCCUAUGGUCUACUACAGUACCGCAUUUAGGAAUGGCAAGAGCAAUAUGGAGGGAGAUGAUGUGUGACCCUGGACACCAGGAAGCCUUGGGGGAGGAGGAGGUGUCCCCAUGGUUCUUGAAGUCUCAGUAGGAGUGUGCCAGGAGAGAGGAGAGGAACAGGAUGAUCUAGGGAGGAAGAAGAAUGGUUAAAAUGGCCUGUUUAGAAAGAGGCAGAAGGCCUUAAUGGGUUCCUCAUGGGAAGUGUGAGGACCACGGGCCAUGGCAUAGACCCAUGAGCUUUUAUUCUUGACUUGAUCCUGCCAGUCCUGGGGCCUUCUCUGACCCACUGUGUCAGGUGGGUGCCCUUAUUUGUGGCCCCAGAGUUUACUCCCCUCCCUCCUCAUCACAGUACUUUUCACUCUGUGGCACAAUGUCAUGUGUGUUCUCCCUAGGGCACACUGAGCUCCUGAGGAUCUUGUUCACUGUUAUAAUCCCAGCCCCGACACCAUGCCCAGAGCAUAAUAGCUAUGCAAGAAAUACUGGGUGCAAAGUCAAUGGAGUUUUUAAUAAUUUCAUUAUAAUGAAUUGAAGACUUGUAGCAGGUGACAGAGAGCUUGGAGCUGGGCUGUGGAGAGCUUGGACCUUGAGUCUGAGGGUACACCAGAGUAGGGGAGCCAGGAAGCAGAGAUCCAUUGGCAUUGGCCCGCAGUGGGGGGCUGUGGUCUGUGGGAAAGAGAAGGGGCUUCUAAAGACCAGGAUCACAGAGCCUGGGGUAGCAGUAAUAGCAUCAUAGAUAGGGACACCUGUGGGCAGAGUGCUUUGGAGAUGAUGGUGACCAGAGGAUCCCAGAGAAGAAAGGGAGGGAGGUCCACGUGGGAUGUGCUGUGGUCUAGGGUGCCCUGCCUCCCAGCACAGUCUGUACCAGGCAGGUAGAAAUUCCACACGGACAACAAGAGAAAGCCAAGGUCCGAGCUGAGAGGCCACCUGUUGUGGGGAGACGGAGCAUCAGGCUCUGGAUGUGAAGUGCCCUUUGCCAUGGUCUCCACCUUCUCAAGCUAUUUUAGUUGAGAUCACUUUGGACUCCCAGUGGGGUCAGUUCAUUUUCCUCUGACCUUGUUUGGAUCUUAAAGCCCCAUAAAUUGGGGUCCUCUCUAGGCAUGUGAAGGGUAACCCAGCUCCAGCAGCACAUUGAGAAAUAGCUUGGCUGGCUGGAGCCUUGAACUUUGUGUCACAUUGUGAAAAAUGCUCUUGGACAAUGAACAGCCUCCCUCCCCUCCCUCCGCAAGCUCCUGUGUUAGCUCUUUUGCAAUAACGCCCACUGUCGGCCGCAAGAGUGUCUAAGCAGGUGCUCUCCACCCACAAUUUGGAGCCACUCAGGGCAUUUAUGGGGAAUGGAACAGAAGGUUUGGUCCUCAUAGCCCGGGGGCAAGAAAAUCGA